Molecule: long non-coding RNA, 2034 nt
Organism: Pogona vitticeps (central bearded dragon)
Lineage: Eukaryota; Metazoa; Chordata; Lepidosauria; Squamata; Agamidae
Source: Ensembl
GUGGCAGUAAUCUCCACCCAUUUCCAGAGAGUACCAAGCCUCACUGACUCAACCCAAAAUUCUUUAUCUGUUUCUUGGGCUUGUACCACAGUGGUGCACAAAAAUGACCUGAGUGAGGGGAAAAGGACUGAGAAGAGAAACGUGGAAUACAUGCACUUAGCCUCUCAUGUCAUCUGAACCAAGGCAAAGAGGGAGUGGAGUUGAGCACCAUGUCUUGUGAAACUUCUAGUUGCAGAAACUCUAGUGGCAGCAGAGUAGGGAAGAAAAACAGCAACAACCCUCCUUGUUGUCUAGUAGUGAGCAUUUCACAGGUUCAGGAGCAGCAUAUUACUUAACGUCACUGAUUGCUACAUGAAUAACAUAUUAUCUAAGCCGAUUUAUCUUUCAUGCCCAUUUCCACAAUUUGAAGCCAUUUCAGGCCCCUUGCUUGCCAUGUGACAUCACAAAGCUCUGCCUCAUGAUAUCUCAAAAUCCUUGCACCUUGGCCUCAGGUUUGGGGCUUGAAAAAUCAGGGAAUAGAAUGCUAUGACCUGGCACCCAUUCUUUGGUGAUUUUGUAGCUAAAUAGCUAGUAGAACAAACCCAGUUGCAGGGGAGGAUUAAUGGGACCCCAAGACUGAAUUCUGUUAAUCAAAUAAUUUCUGGGCCAGGCACAAAAGAGAUUAAAUACAAAACUACAUGCUAGCUGACAUUGCUCUAUGGCAGAUGAGAUAAGACACCAACCAAGAGAUGAAACUUUUUAUAUUGCCAAUAUGUUUACUCCACUCCAUGUAGACAACCAAUAAUCCAUAUCUGAAAUCAUCUGAACAAAUGUGUAGAGAUCAAAAUGUUUGCUUUCAAGGGCAGACAUCUCAGAAUCCCCUAGCCGGGAUGGUCAACACUGUCUGUGGAGUGCUGGAAGUUGUAGACCAAAAAGCAAAACACACCCUUCUGUCAUUGUUGUUGCAGCUGCAGUUGGUACACACAACUGCAAACCAAAGAACUACGUAUAGCCUUAGCCCUUUGCUAACUCUGCAGAUGAAUAUGCCAGCCUAGUGUGGCAUAGUUCAGUGUACGCAAAAUAUUUAGACAUAGCACUCAAUGAGAGCUGUAGAAUGCUUAUUGGAUGUAGCCAACCCCUAUAAAAGGGUUAUUGAGCAGGCAUUAUGUGCAGUGACAUAUGGAGAGAGAGAGAGAGAGAGAGAGAGAGAGAGCAGCUUCCUCUGAAUCCUGAAGAAAUCACUGUUGUUGCCAGGACUAUAAUGUGGAAAGGAAGAGGUUUUGUUGUUGUUGUUUAGUCGUUAAGUCGUGUCUGACUCUUCAUGACCCCAUGGACCAAAGCACGCCAGGCCCUCCUGUGUUCCACUGCCUCCUGGAACUACCCACCUCUUAAAAUGAAUAGCACCUCUGGAGAAUCUAGUUUCUGGUCACAGGGAGAACUGGAUUACUUGGAAGUCAUUUAAUAGACUGGGGCUGGCAAAACCGAGGUGCUUUCUCAAGGGGUUAAGCAUACCUACAGACCUGCCAUAGCUUUUUUGAGAGGAAGCACUAAUGAACAGAGGUGGCCUAGAAAGCCAUUUUUGAUAGAACACUAACAACUGGGCUGUUUUUGUUAUAUUAGAAGAAGAGUAGUUAAAUACAAAAAGAGGCUGCUGUGAUUUUUAAAAAAAGAAAGAAAUGGUGGACUGAAUGGCACAAGGAAUGAACGGCAGACUGACUGGUGGGAAGGCACACACAUUGUUUGCUUUAUGUCCUGGACAAGUUAGUGAAAUGCUAUAGGGACAAUUUUUCAUAAGCUGUUAAUUUUGCAUAUAUAUCCAGCCUCACCUUAUUGAGGACUCAUGAGUCCUGCACAGAUAAUAAUUGCGGCUUCAUAUUGUUCCAGGCACAGCUGGGUGGCACUUGGACUCUAAGGUGCUUCUGUACAGCAAUUUAGUUAUGCCCUAGCUACAUUUUAGUAUUUCUAUGAUGUUCUGUGGCAAUAUCCAAUCGUCCUCUUAUUAAAAGGAAUAAUAGCCUUGCUGGGCGAAGGAGGAGGGAAUGGGGGAUUUGUUUU